CCUACGGGAGGCAGCAGUAAGGAAUCUUGCGCAAUGGGCGAAAGCCUGACGCAGCGACGCCGCGUGGGCGAUGAAGGCCUUCGGGUUGUAAAGCCCUUUUCUGGGGGACGAGGAAGGACGGUACCCCAGGAAUAAGUCACGGCUAACUACGUGCCAGCAGCCGCGGUAAAACGUAGGUGGCAAGCGUUAUCCGGAAUCACUGGGCGUAAAGGGCGUCUAGGCGGACGGGUAAGUCGUGCGUGAAAGCUUCCGGCUCAACCGGGAGAGGUCGUACGAUACUGCCUGUCUUGAGGGUCGGAGAGGGACGUGGAAUUCCCGGUGUAGCGGUGAAAUGCGUAGAGAUCGGGAGGAACACCGGAGGCGAAGGCGGCUCCCUGGACUGUCCCUGACACUGAAACACGAAAGCUAGGGGAGCAAACGGGAUUAGAUACCCCUGUAGU
RNAcentral lists this ribosomal RNA (440 nucleotides) under uncultured Anaerolineae bacterium. RNAcentral describes it as "partial 16S ribosomal RNA". It matches the Rfam family "Bacterial small subunit ribosomal RNA", at positions 338 to 794 of the family's 1533-position model. The record is from RNAcentral. Lineage: Bacteria; Bacillati; Chloroflexota; Anaerolineae.